This 115-nucleotide ribosomal RNA is filed under the name Ochotona princeps (American pika). Lineage: Eukaryota; Metazoa; Chordata; Mammalia; Lagomorpha; Ochotonidae. The record is from RNAcentral.
GUCUAUGGCCAUACCACCUAAAUGCGCCCAAUCGCUUCUGAUCUUAGAAGCUAAGCAGGGUCGGCCCUUGUUAGUACUUAGGUGGGACAAUAUGGAGAUUAAGAAAUUGAUGAAA